GUUGUUUCUUGGCUUGCAACACGAAUCGAUCUCCACGACAUGUUUAGUUUCAUGGAAAGAAUUUGGGGUUGCUUCAAUUUUCCCGUUGGUUGUAAAUUGUGGAUGAUAGUCUUUGGAACACAUGAAUUUUACAUAUCAGUUGAAUUGUCUUGAUGGUUCUGAAAAUAUCAUGAGCCUAGAAUUUGGUAUGUGCAAUAGGUUGUGAAAUAGUUGGUAUUAGAAUUUCUCAAAGAGUCCAUCUAGGUCAUAUAAGGAGAGCUUUUUG
Molecule: long non-coding RNA, 265 nt
Filed under: Oryza brachyantha (malo sina)
Lineage: Eukaryota; Viridiplantae; Streptophyta; Magnoliopsida; Poales; Poaceae
Description: long non-coding RNA (OBRA_LNC003147)
Source: RNAcentral